RNAcentral lists this long non-coding RNA (477 nucleotides) under Pan troglodytes (chimpanzee). RNAcentral's name for it is "long non-coding RNA NONPTRT002156". Lineage: Eukaryota; Metazoa; Chordata; Mammalia; Primates; Hominidae. The record is from RNAcentral.
UCUUGGCAGCUGGGAUCUGCACCUGAUGCCAGGAAGAGGCAGUGAGCGCUCUCUCUGCAACAGGUAUCAACAUAAUGAUUCAUGGGGGAUGCAUCCACAGAGCUUCCAAGGUUGUGUGUGUGUGUGUGUGUGUGCGCGUGUGUCUGUGUGUAUGUGUGUGUAUGAGUGCAUGUCUGUGUGUAUGUGUGUGUGCAUGUGUGCUUGUGUGUGUGUCUGUGUAUGAGUGCGUGUGUGUCUGUGUAUGUGUGCGUGUGUGUGUGUGUGUGGCGUGAGGUAGGAAGGUACAGGUGAGGCCCUCCAUAAGAACACUUUCUAAGGCUGGAUGACCACAGAUUGGGCGUCUGGUAGAAAAGCACAGUGCCAGAUGGAGCAGGCUUGGGAUUCAAUGCUGAGGCCUUGGGCAAAUAUGGAGCAUCCGAGACUCCCUUCCAAGCCAGGCUGACCACGAGGCACAAGUUCCUGAGGCCUCCAUCAAUA